AGGGUUUGAUCCUGGCUCAGAUUGAACGCUGGCGGAAUGCUUUACACAUGCAAGUCGAACGAUGAAGCCUAGCUUGCUAGGUGAAUUAGUGGCGGACGGGUGAGUAAUAUAUCGGAACGUGUCCAUUAAUGGGGGAUAACUAAUCGAAAGGUUAGCUAAUACCGCAUACGCCCUGAGGGGGAAAGCUGGGGAUCUUCGGACCUAGCGUUAAUGGAGCGGCCGAUACCUGAUUAGCUAGUUGGUGGGGUAAAAGCCUACCAAGGCAACGAUCAGUAGCUGGUCUGAGAGGACGACCAGCCACACUGGGACUGAGACACGGCCCAGACUCCUACGGGAGGCAGCAGUGGGGAAUUUUGGACAAUGGGGGCAACCCUGAUCCAGCCAUUCCGCGUGAGUGAAGAAGGCCUUCGGGUUGUAAAGCUCUUUCGCAAGGGAAGAAACGAUAUAGGUUAAUAGCUUAUGUUAAUGACGGUACCUUGACAAGAAGCACCGGCUAACUACGUGCCAGCAGCCGCGGUAAUACGUAGGGUGCAAGCGUUAAUCGGAAUUACUGGGCGUAAAGCGUGCGCAGGCUGUUUUGUAAGUCAGAUGUGAAAUCCCCGAGCUCAACUUGGGAACUGCGUUUGAAACUACAAGACUAGAAUAGGUCAGAGGGGGGUAGAAUUCCAUGUGUAGCAGUGAAAUG
Molecule: ribosomal RNA, 685 nt
Filed under: uncultured bacterium
Lineage: Bacteria
Description: bacterial SSU rRNA
Rfam family: Bacterial small subunit ribosomal RNA
Source: RNAcentral